ACCUGAUCAGCCAUGCCGCGUGUGUGAAGAAGGCCUUUUGGUUGUAAAGCACUUUAAGCAGUGAAGAAGACUCUUCGGUUAAUACCCGGAGACGAUGACAUUAGCUGCAGAAUAAGCACCGGCUAACUCUGUGCCAGCAGCCGCGGUAAUACAGAGGGUGCAAGCGUUAAUCGGAAUUACUGGGCGUAAAGCGAGCGUAGGUGGCUUGAUAAGUCAGAUGUGAAAUCCCCGGGCUUAACCUGGGAACUGCAUCUGAAACUGUUAGGCUAGAGUAGGUGAGAGGGAAGUAGAAUUUCAGGUGUAGCGGUGAAAUGCGUAGAGAUCUGAAGGAAUACCGAUGGCGAAGGCAGCUUCCUGGCAUCAUACUGACACUGAGGCUCGAAAGCGUGGGUAGCAAACAGGAUUAGAUACCCUGGUAGUCCACGCCGUAAACGAUGUCUACUAGUCGUUGGGUCCCUUGAGGACUUAGUGACGCAGCUAACGCAAUAAGUAGACCGCCUGGGGAGUACGGCCGCAAGGUUAAAACUCAAAUGAAUUGACGGGGGCCCGCACAAGCGGUGGAGCAUGUGGUUUAAUUCGAUGCAACGCGAAGAACCUUACCUGGUCUUGACAUAUCUAGAAUCCUGCAGAGAUGCGGGAGUGCCUUCGGGAAUUAGAAUACAGGUGCUGCAUGGCUGUCGUCAGCUCGUGUCGUGAGAUGUUGGGUUAAGUCCCGCAACGAGCGCAACCCUUGUCCUUAGUUACCAGCGGGUUAAGCCGGGAACUCUAAGGAUACUGCCAGUGACAAACUGGAGGAAGGCGGGGACGACGUCAAGUCAUCAUGGCCCUUACGACCAGGGCUACACACGUGCUACAAUGGUAGGUACAGAGGGCAGCUACACAGCGAUGUGAUGCGAAUCU
RNAcentral lists this ribosomal RNA (900 nucleotides) under Psychrobacter nivimaris. RNAcentral's name for it is "bacterial SSU rRNA". It matches the Rfam family "Bacterial small subunit ribosomal RNA", at positions 381 to 1274 of the family's 1533-position model. Lineage: Bacteria; Pseudomonadati; Pseudomonadota; Gammaproteobacteria; Moraxellales; Moraxellaceae. The record is from RNAcentral.